UACGUAGGGUGCAAGCGUUGUCCGGAAUUAUUGGGCGUAAAGAGCUCGUAGGCGGUCUGUCGCGUCGGCUGUGAAAUCCCGAGGCUCAACCUCGGGUCUGCAGUCGAUACGGGCAAACUAGAGUAUUGCAGGGGAGACUGGAAUUCCUGGUGUAGCGGUGAAAUGCGCAGAUAUCAGGAGGAACACCGGUGGCGAAGGCGGCUACCUGGACAGAAACUGACGCUGAGGCGCGAAAGCUAGGGGAGCAAACAGG
This 253-nucleotide ribosomal RNA is filed under the name uncultured bacterium. RNAcentral's name for it is "partial 16S ribosomal RNA". It matches the Rfam family "Bacterial small subunit ribosomal RNA", at positions 524 to 776 of the family's 1533-position model. The record is from RNAcentral.